RNAcentral lists this ribosomal RNA (271 nucleotides) under uncultured prokaryote. RNAcentral's name for it is "partial 16S ribosomal RNA". It matches the Rfam family "Bacterial small subunit ribosomal RNA", at positions 524 to 794 of the family's 1533-position model. The record is from RNAcentral.
UACGGAGGAUCCAAGCGUUAUCCGGAUUUAUUGGGUUUAAAGGGUGCGCAGGCGGAAGAUUAAGUCGGCGGUGAAAUUUUGCAGCUCAACUGUAAAAGUGCCAUCGAUACUGGUUUUCUUGAGUGUGGAUGAAGUAGGCGGAAUUUGUGGUGUAGCGGUGAAAUGCUUAGAUAUCACGAGGAACUCCGAUUGCGCAGGCAGCUUACUAAACUACUACUGACGCUCAGGCACGAAGGCGUGGGGAUCAAACAGGAUUAGAUACCCCCGUAGU